Molecule: long non-coding RNA, 1444 nt
Organism: Bos taurus (domestic cattle)
Lineage: Eukaryota; Metazoa; Chordata; Mammalia; Artiodactyla; Bovidae
Source: Ensembl
GCGAGGAGGUUCUAUGGACAGGAAGGUGAAAGUGUCAGUCGCUCAGUCCUGUCUGACUUUUUGCGACCUCCUGGACUGUACCCUGCCAAGCUCCUCUGUCCCUGAAAUCCUCCAGGCAAGAAUGCUGGAGUGGGUAGCCAUUCGCUUCUCCAGGGGAUCUUCCCAACCCAGGGAUCUAACCCCGAGUCUCCUGCAUUGCUGGCAGAUUCUUUACUACCUCAGCCACCAGAGAAGCCCCACUAUGGCCAUGAGGCCCCUACUUUGAACUCUGUCGUCUUCCGAGAAGAAUAAGGACUCCUCUCUCUUGAUAAAAUUUGGUCCCAGCAGGCAGCUGUGGGGAGGGACUGGAGCUGGGUCCCUUGGUUCCCCAUAGACCCCCACUGACCAGCCUGGCCUCUUGGGGGCUCUUCCGGUCACCAUCGGCUUAGGGUGAGUGACUCCUGCCCUAAGGUUUUCCCGCAGGGACCUCACUGCUUUCUCAGUGUAGGCUGUUUCCUUCGGGUGGCUUUGGUGGGGCAGUUCUCUGUGUUUUGGAGUUGGCCAACCACUUCUUCCCCAUGACUUGCUUAUCCUUGAGUCGUCACUUUCUUUGCCAACUUCCUGCGGUGUGGCCAGCUAUUAUCCCCCAGUACAGGUGAUACUCAUCUCCCAGGCCUCUGAAUAGCUCAUGGCGUUCGCUAUGUGGUUCCCUGAUGAAUUCCCGUCAAGUCUAAACUCGGACCUAAACCAGCAGGGAAACCGAGGUUCUGAGCUGUAGAGCCAUCCUGGGUAGCCUUCGCUGCAGGGCGCCAGGGUUAAGAGGGGCAGGCACUGCCCUCCAUUUGCCAAAUAAAGUCACCACAAAAUGUUGCUUAGCCUUCUGAGAUUUGUAAUUUAAAAAAAUUAAGCUCAAAAAUUGACUUUUUUUUUCCUUCAAGUAGGUUGAGUGUACUUUAUAUCACUUAAAAUUGUCUUCCUCUAUAGUAAAAGGGAUUGUUGGAGUUCCCCCAACUUUCUCCUCCCCACCCCCACCAAACCAGAGCGCAUUUCCCAGCCUCCCUUGCAGUUAGUUGAGGUCAUGUGACUGGUUUUUAGCCAAUAGGAUGUGACAGGAGUAAAGCCAGCCCAUCCAGUCCUGGCUCAUAAAAUCUCUUAUGUUCUUCUGCCUUCUGCGGUGACCUUGGACGCGUGGACUGAAAAAGAAUACAGACUAACAAUCUUUGCUGCUGCUGCUAAGUCGCUUCAGUCGUGUCCAACUCUGUGCGACCCCAUAGAUGGCAGCCCACCAGGCCCCGCCGUCCCUGGGAUUCUCCAGGCAAGCACACUGGAGUGGGUUGCCAUUUCCUCCUCCAAUGCAUGAAAGUGGAAAGUGAAAGUGAAGCCGCGCAGUCGUGUCCGACUCUUAGCGACCCCAACUCUUAGCGACCCCAUGGACUGCAGCCUACCAGGCUCCUCCAUCCGUCGG